AUGGCUCUUUGAAAACAUAUAAUAAAGAGUCUAGCCUGCCCAGUGGUUAAUUUAACGGCCGCGGUACUCUGACCGUGCGAAGGUAGCAUAAUCAUUUGUCUUAUAAUUGAAGUCUGGAAUGAAUGGUUUAACAAGAGCGAAACUGUCUCUAUUAAUAGGAUAAAAUUUUAUGAUUAAGUUAAAAAGCUUAAAUAUAAUUAAAAGACGAGAAGACCCUAUCGAGUUUAAGGAAAAUAAUUAAAAUUUUUAACAUUGAUGAAUACUAAAUAUUUAAUAAAACUUUAGUUGGGGCGAUUCAGGAACAAAUAAAGCUUCUUGUAAUUAAAAUUUAUUGAUAAAUAUAGGAUCCAUAAUUUGUGAUUAAAAGAAUUAAUUACCGUAGGGAUAACAGCAUUAUCUUUUUUGAGAGCUCAAAUCGAAAAAAAUGUUUGUGACCUCGAUGUUGGACCAAGAUAACCUGAAGAUGUAGAAGUCUUUAAAGGUUGGUCUGUUCGACCAUUAAAAUCUUACGUGAUCUGAGUUCAGACCGG
This 530-nucleotide ribosomal RNA is filed under the name Coriocella herberti. RNAcentral describes it as "partial large subunit ribosomal RNA". It matches the Rfam family "Bacterial large subunit ribosomal RNA", at positions 1815 to 2619 of the family's 2925-position model. Lineage: Eukaryota; Metazoa; Mollusca; Gastropoda; Littorinimorpha; Velutinidae. The record is from RNAcentral.